ACUGAAGGAGCAGACUAAAGGAGGAAGGUGAUUCCAGAUCCAGGCACCAGCUCUGAGGACGAGGCCAGUGAUGACUUUGAUGUGUCUGCUGAGGGCAUGGAGAUGAACUUGGAUGCCUCAGGCUAAGAUCAGGAGGUUGUAACAGGGUCUAAUGUGAAGGGCCAGAUCCUCUGGUUUUUCUAGGAGGCAUCACCGGUUGAGCUGUCUCUCAUCUCUGGCUGCUCUGUGAAGAAGGCCCAGAGGAUUGUCGAGCUGCGCCUAUUUAACGAGUGGGAGAAUCUGGUGGCUGUUCUCGAUGGAGGGAACGGCCUCUCCACUGACCUGGUGCAGGGCUGUUGUGCGGUCCUGAGGGAACAGGACGUGGCGCACAGCCUCUUGACCAAGUGUGAGAACAUCACCAACAAGAUGAUGCAGGACGUGACUCAAGUGGUGGAGAGGGACAAGGGCUUCUAGAAACAGCCUGAGAUCCUCAACAGCAAGUGGGUUUAGCUGCUGUUUUUAUACUCAUCUCACUGACAUACACAUUCAGAUAUUUGUGUAGAAUGAUUUUCGUAGACAAACACAAUCUAAUACAUGUAAAUAAUUGAUAAUAGCGCCGACAGAGAGGACUGCCUCGCUUUUAGCUCUUGGUAAACUAUGCAGUAUUUCGUUUUUUUAUGUAUUAUUCCUUACAUUGUUAGCCCAGAACAUUUUUUGUGUUAUUACAUACAGCCGGAAAGAACUAUUCUUACUUCCAUUCCUUUACUUAGAUUUGUGUGUAUUGGGUAUAUGUUGUGAAAUUGUUAGAUAUUACUGCACUGUUGGAGCUAGAAACACAAGCAUUUCGCUACACCCGCAAUAACAUCUGCUAAACACGUGUAUGUGACCAAUAAAAUAUGAUUUGAUUUGAUGUACAUAGGCAGUUUUGAACGCACACACACAUCCUUCUGUUACUUUGACCUCUCCAGGUUCCAGUUGAAGCCUUAUCAGCUAAUUGGUCAAAAUAGGCUGACUCUGCUACACCAGAACAACCCGAGUGGAAUCCUUGCUGAUGAAAUGGGUUUGGGGGAAGACCAUCCAGGCCAUCUCUUUCCUGUUUCCUUGUUAAAGCAAGGAACAACAAAGUUCCAUCACAUUGUAAAGAUUCCACGUUACCAUGGAAACAGUCAACUGCACGAAUGCCCGGCUGUCCCGUCUUCAGUCAGCUGUUAG
Molecule: long non-coding RNA, 1191 nt
Filed under: Salmo trutta (river trout)
Lineage: Eukaryota; Metazoa; Chordata; Actinopteri; Salmoniformes; Salmonidae
Description: lncRNA (ENSSTUG00000007970.1)
Source: RNAcentral